RNAcentral lists this ribosomal RNA (481 nucleotides) under uncultured bacterium. RNAcentral's name for it is "bacterial SSU rRNA". It matches the Rfam family "Bacterial small subunit ribosomal RNA", at positions 30 to 510 of the family's 1533-position model. The record is from RNAcentral.
AUUGAACGCUGGCGGAAUGCUUUACACAUGCAAGUCGAACGGUAGAGGGGGCAACCCCUUGAGAGUGGCGAACGGGUGAGUAAUAUAUCGGAACGUGCCCAGUCGUGGGGAUAACGUAGCGAAAGUUACGCUAAUACCGCAUACGAUCUAUGGAUGAAAGCGGGGGAUCGCAAGACCUCGCGCGAUUGGAGCGGCCGAUAUCAGAUUAGGUAGUUGGUGAGGUAAAGGCUCACCAAGCCAACGAUCUGUAGCUGGUCUGAGAGGACGACCAGCCACACUGGAACUGAGACACGGUCCAGACUCCUACGGGAGGCAGCAGUGGGGAAUUUUGGACAAUGGACGCAAGUCUGAUCCAGCCAUUCCGCGUGCAGGAUGAAGGCCCUCGGGUUGUAAACUGCUUUUAUACGGAACGAAACGGUGAGCUCUAAUACAGUUUGCUAAUGACGGUACCGUAAGAUAAGCACCGGCUAACUACGUGCCA